RNAcentral lists this ribosomal RNA (565 nucleotides) under uncultured bacterium. Its description in RNAcentral is "bacterial SSU rRNA". It matches the Rfam family "Bacterial small subunit ribosomal RNA", at positions 358 to 916 of the family's 1533-position model. The record is from RNAcentral.
GGAAUUUUGGACAAUGGGCGCAAGCCUGAUCCAGCAAUGCCGCGUGCAGGAUGAAGGCCUUCGGGUUGUAAACUGCUUUUGUACGGAACGAAACGGUCCUUUCUAAUACAAGGGGCUAAUGACGGUACCGUAAGAAUAAGCACCGGCUAACUACGUGCCAGCAGCCGCGGUAAUACGUAGGGUGCGAGCGUUAAUCGGAAUUACUGGGCGUAAAGCGUGCGCAGGCGGUUAUAUAAGACAGAUGUGAAAUCCCCGGGCUCAACCUGGGACCUGCAUUUGUGACUGUAUAGCUAGAGUGCGGCAGAGGGGGAUGGAAUUCCGCGUGUAGCAGUGAAAUGCGUAGAUAUGCGGAGGAACACCGAUGGCGAAGGCAAUCCCCUGGGCCUGCACUGACGCUCAUGCACGAAAGCGUGGGGAGCAAACAGGAUUAGAUACCCUGGUAGUCCACGCCCUAAACGAUGUCAACUGGUUGUUGGGUCUUCACUGACUCAGUAACGAAGCUAACGCGUGAAGUUGACCGCCUGGGGAGUACGGCCGCAAGGUUGAAACUCAAAUGAAUUGACGG